Caretta caretta (loggerhead turtle) is the source of this 974-nucleotide non-coding RNA. The record is from RefSeq and is a predicted model, not a curated record. NCBI's taxonomy places the organism in Eukaryota, Metazoa, Chordata, Testudines, Cheloniidae.
CUUGAAUAUCUUAAUUCUAAAAUGCAAACGAAAUAACUGGCCAGUGCCAAUGUUCUUGAUUCGUAUAGGGAGACAUUCCAAGACCAUGGUUUUCAAUGUAAAGCACUUAGCAGACAUUUGGCACCAUAUAAAUGUUUUAAAAUGGAAAUAUAUACCUACAGAAAAGUUGUUUCCUAGCCAAAUGGGGCUCCAAUCCCAGCUGAGGCCUUCAGAUGCUAUAAUACAUACAUACUAAUGCUAAGUAGUGGCACUAUUGACCUGUUUAAAAAACAAACAAACAAAACCCUCUAGCUCAGUAGCUUAGAUGAUAAAUUUCUGUAACAUAUGAACUUGUAUUUAAGUAAGAGAGAGAGUGCUCUCUAAGUUACUCUUAAACCCUACUAGGAAUAUAACUGAUAUAACGUGUUCUAAUUCCCAGUUUAUUUUUAGAAAUAUUACAACAGACAUCUUGUAAAGCAACCCCUCUUGUGGAACCACAUAGUGAUGAUAUGAUUGAAAUACAGUAACAGAAAAUUCCCUUAUGAAUUAGUCAAUCAAAGGUGUCUCCUAUACAACAGGAACUUCUCCCUUGAGAUUCAUAUGGGGCCAAGAGUGGUCUUCCUCCUCCAAACCCAAUGUUAAAAAAAUGACUGCUUGGAAAGAGUGUUGCAUUGUUCCUUAAAACUAAGUCCUGCCGUGAGGCCCCACUCCGGGACUCUGCAAGGUAUUGUGCAAACACGUUGUAAAUGGUCAAUCCCUGCACUCAGGAGCUUAUAACUUCAGUUAAUGAAAACAUUCAACAGCUGGAUAAAAUAAAUGGGUAGGAGUGGAGAGCAGGAGGAUGAAGUAACAGUAUGAACAACAUCCUUUCAAGUAGACCUUCAGUGUGCACAAUGUAUAUGGGGGUAGCCGUGUUAGUCUAUAUCCACAAAAGCAACAAGGAGUCUGGUAGCACCUUAAAGACUAAGAUUUAUUUGAGCAUAAGCUUUCAUGGG